UACGUAGGGUGCGAGCGUUGUCCGGAAUUAUUGGGCGUAAAGAGCUCGUAGGCGGUGUGUCACGUCGGCCGUGAAAACCUGCAGCUUAACUGUGGGCGUGCGGUCGAUACGGGCAUCACUGGAGUUCGGCAGGGGAGACUGGAAUUCCUGGUGUAGCGGUGAAAUGCGCAGAUAUCAGGAGGAACACCGGUGGCGAAGGCGGGUCUCUGGGCCGAUACUGACACUGAGGAGCGAAAGCGUGGGGAGCAAACAGG
Molecule: ribosomal RNA, 254 nt
Filed under: uncultured bacterium
Lineage: Bacteria
Description: partial 16S ribosomal RNA
Rfam family: Bacterial small subunit ribosomal RNA
Source: RNAcentral